UUGUCCAGUUUUGAUCAAAUCUGACAGAGGAGAAGAUAUUAAGUGAUUAAGUUCCUACAAGCAUCUGAAUAGAGCCAAGAAAUGUUACUUGUCUACAAUCUGCAACCCUAUCGACGCAAAGGCACAAGCAUGAGCUCACUCUUCAACAGACAUCAGAGAAUCACAGCAGAGAGACUUUGAGCCAGAUCUUCUGGCAGGUGAAGUUUGCUUUAUGUGGAGUCCAUCAGUGCUAACCCCGGUGGAGAAAUAGCCGCAGAGCUAUGAGAAUUGCCUCUUUUCCUUCUCAUUAUUUCCAGUCUUUGCUGUCUGAAAAAGUGAGUGAGACAGGAUCCCUACAUCAAUCUUCUUUCUGGUCAGUAUGUGCUCCUGAAUUCAAGUCCUGCAAAUAUUAUUCCUGAAAAUAAAGUGGU
Molecule: long non-coding RNA, 410 nt
Organism: Pogoniulus pusillus (Red-fronted tinkerbird)
Lineage: Eukaryota; Metazoa; Chordata; Aves; Piciformes; Lybiidae
Exons: 3
Source: RefSeq, a predicted model, not a curated record